This 509-nucleotide ribosomal RNA is filed under the name uncultured Clostridiaceae bacterium. Its description in RNAcentral is "bacterial SSU rRNA". It matches the Rfam family "Bacterial small subunit ribosomal RNA", at positions 1 to 507 of the family's 1533-position model. Lineage: Bacteria; Bacillati; Bacillota; Clostridia; Eubacteriales; Clostridiaceae. The record is from RNAcentral.
GGUCCGUUGGACAGUCGUACGACGAGUAGUUUGACUCGUGGCUACAGGACGACGCUGGCGGCGUGCCUAACACAUGCAAGUCGAGCGAUGAAGUUCCUUCGGGAACGGAUUAGCGGCGGACGGGUGAGGUAACACGUGGGUAACCUGCCUUAUAGAGGGGGAUAGCCUUCCGAAAGGAAGAUUAAUACCGCAUAAAGUUGUUGAUUCGCAUGGAUCGAUAACCAAAGGAGCAAUCCGCUAUAAGAUGGACCCGCGGCGCAUUAGCUAGUUGGUGAGGUAGAAGCUCACCAAGGCGACGAUGCGUAGCCGACCUGAGAGGGUGAUCGGCCACAUUGGGACUGAGACACGGCCCAGACUCCUACGGGAGGCAGCAGUGGGGAAUAUUGCACAAUGGGGGAAACCCUGAUGCAGCAACGCCGCGUGAGUGAUGAAGGCCUUCGGGUUGUAAAGCUCUGUCUUUGGGGACGAUAAUGACGGUACCCAAGGAGGAAGCCACGGCUAGCUACGUG